Molecule: ribosomal RNA, 688 nt
Filed under: Micromonospora sp.
Lineage: Bacteria; Bacillati; Actinomycetota; Actinomycetes; Micromonosporales; Micromonosporaceae
Description: bacterial SSU rRNA
Rfam family: Bacterial small subunit ribosomal RNA
Source: RNAcentral
GCAACCUGCCCCAGGCUUUGGGAUAACCCCGGGAAACCGGGGCUAAUACCGAAUAUGACCUCCGAUCGCAUGGUUGGUGGUGGAAAGUUUUUCGGCUUGGGAUGGGCUCGCGGCCUAUCAGCUUGUUGGUGGGGUGAUGGCCUACCAAGGCGACGACGGGUAGCCGGCCUGAGAGGGCGACCGGCCACACUGGGACUGAGACACGGCCCAGACUCCUACGGGAGGCAGCAGUGGGGAAUAUUGCACAAUGGGCGGAAGCCUGAUGCAGCGACGCCGCGUGAGGGAUGACGGCCUUCGGGUUGUAAACCUCUUUCAGCAGGGACGAAGCGUAAGUGACGGUACCUGCAGAAGAAGCGCCGGCCAACUACGUGCCAGCAGCCGCGGUAAGACGUAGGGCGCGAGCGUUGUCCGGAUUUAUUGGGCGUAAAGAGCUCGUAGGCGGCUUGUCGCGUCGACUGUGAAAACCCGCAGCUCAACUGCGGGCCUGCAGUCGAUACGGGCAGGCUAGAGUUCGGUAGGGGAGACUGGAAUUCCUGGUGUAGCGGUGAAAUGCGCAGAUAUCAGGAGGAACACCGGUGGCGAAGGCGGGUCUCUGGGCCGAUACUGACGCUGAGGAGCGAAAGCGUGGGGAGCGAACAGGAUUAGAUACCCUGGUAGUCCACGCUGUAAACGUUGGGCGCUAGGUGUG